RNAcentral lists this transfer RNA (73 nucleotides) under Leptospirillum ferrodiazotrophum. It matches the Rfam family "tRNA". From Rfam's summary of the family: Transfer RNA (tRNA) molecules are approximately 80 nucleotides in length. Lineage: Bacteria; Pseudomonadati; Nitrospirota; Nitrospiria; Nitrospirales; Nitrospiraceae. The record is from Rfam by way of RNAcentral.
GCUCCUGUAGCUCAAUCGGCAGAGCACCCGCCUUGUAAGCGGAAGGUUGUCGGUUCAAUUCCGACCAGGAGCU